This 1848-nucleotide ribosomal RNA is filed under the name Salmonella enterica. Its description in RNAcentral is "partial 23S ribosomal RNA". It matches the Rfam family "Bacterial large subunit ribosomal RNA", at positions 711 to 2455 of the family's 2925-position model. The record is from RNAcentral. Lineage: Bacteria; Pseudomonadati; Pseudomonadota; Gammaproteobacteria; Enterobacterales; Enterobacteriaceae.
AGACCCGAAACCCGGUGAUCUAGCCAUGGGCAGGUUGAAGGUUGGGUAACACUAACUGGAGGACCGAACCGACUAAUGUUGAAAAAUUAGCGGAUGACCUGUGGCUGGGGGUGAAAGGCCAAUCAAACCGGGAGAUAGCUGGUUCUCCCCGAAAGCUAUUUAGGUAGCGCCUCGUGAAUUCAUCUCCGGGGGUAGAGCACUGUUUCGGCUAGGGGGCCAUCCCGGCUUACCAACCCGAUGCAAACUGCGAAUACCGGAGAAUGUUAUCACGGGAGACACACGGCGGGUGCUAACGUCCGUCGUGAAGAGGGAAACAACCCAGACCGCCAGCUAAGGUCCCAAAGUCAUGGUUAAGUGGGAAACGAUGUGGGAAGGCCCAGACAGCCAGGAUGUUGGCUUAGAAGCAGCCAUCAUUUAAAGAAAGCGUAAUAGCUCACUGGUCGAGUCGGCCUGCGCGGAAGAUGUAACGGGGCUAAACCAUGCACCGAAGCUGCGGCAGCGAACGUAUCACCCAAGACAACUUUACGGAGUUGACGAUUGACGGAGCGAAGCGACGUCAAAGCGUUCAUUAAAGUCGAGUUGGCUUAGGGAUACGUUCGUUGGGUAGGGGAGCGUUCUGUAAGCCUGUGAAGGUGUGUCGUGAGGCAUGCUGGAGGUAUCAGAAGUGCGAAUGCUGACAUAAGUAACGAUAAAGCGGGUGAAAAGCCCGCUCGCCGGAAGACCAAGGGUUCCUGUCCAACGUUAAUCGGGGCAGGGUGAGUCGACCCCUAAGGCGAGGCCGAAAGGCGUAGUCGAUGGGAAACGGGUUAAUAUUCCCGUACUUGGUGUUACUGCGAAGGGGGGACGGAGAAGGCUAUGUUGGCCGGGCGACGGUUGUCCCGGUUUAAGCGUGUAGGUGUGUGUUCCAGGUAAAUCCGGUUCACUUUAACACUGAGGCGUGAUGACGAGGCACUACGGUGCUGAAGCAACAAAUGCCCUGCUUCCAGGAAAAGCCUCUAAGCAUCAGGUAACAUCAAAUCGUACCCCAAACCGACACAGGUGGUCAGGUAGAGAAUACCAAGGCGCUUGAGAGAACUCGGGUGAAGGAACUAGGCAAAAUGGUGCCGUAACUUCGGGAGAAGGCACGCUGACACGUAGGUGAAGUGAUUUACUCACGGAGCUGAAGUCAGUCGAAGAUACCAGCUGGCUGCAACUGUUUAUUAAAAACACAGCACUGUGCAAACACGAAAGUGGACGUAUACGGUGUGACGCCUGCCCGGUGCCGGAAGGUUAAUUGAUGGGGUCAGCGCAAGCGAAGCUCCUGAUCGAAGCCCCGGUAAACGGCGGCCGUAACUAUAACGGUCCUAAGGUAGCGAAAUUCCUUGUCGGGUAAGUUCCGACCUGCACGAAUGGCGUAAUGAUGGCCAGGCUGUCUCCACCCGAGACUCAGUGAAAUUGAACUCGCUGUGAAGAUGCAGUGUACCCGCGGCAAGACGGAAAGACCCCGUGAACCUUUACUAUAGCUUGACACUGAACAUUGAGCCUUGAUGUGUAGGAUAGGUGGGAGGCUUUGAAGUGUGGACGCCAGUCUGCAUGGAGCCGACCUUGAAAUACCACCCUUUAAUGUUUGAUGUUCUAACGUGGACCCGUAAUCCGGGUUGCGGACAGUGUCUGGUGGGUAGUUUGACUGGGGCGGUCUCCUCCUAAAGAGUAACGGAGGAGCACGAAGGUUGGCUAAUCCUGGUCGGACAUCAGGAGGUUAGUGCAAUGGCAUAAGCCAGCUUGACUGCGAGCGUGACGGCGCGAGCAGGUGCGAAAGCAGGUCAUAGUGAUCCGGUGGUUCUGAAUGGAAGGGCCAUCGCUCAACGG